GGCGGGGAUGCUGAAAGGAUUAGGACUCAGGACGAGGAGUCAGGAAGCGCCAGGAGGCGAAGACCACAGGAUAGUCAGGAUGACGCGCGUCUUGGAGACGUUUUACAGGGAAAAGGAAGAAACAGGGACCGUUGGACGCUAAGGGAAAGACAGGGUGAGUCGUUAGCGAACAGGGAAAGAAGAGCCCGUUAAGGGUGGUCAGU
This 203-nucleotide small RNA is filed under the name Klebsiella sp. MS 92-3. Lineage: Bacteria; Pseudomonadati; Pseudomonadota; Gammaproteobacteria; Enterobacterales; Enterobacteriaceae. The record is from RNAcentral.